RNAcentral lists this non-coding RNA (24 nucleotides) under Cricetulus griseus (Chinese hamster). The record is from RNAcentral. Lineage: Eukaryota; Metazoa; Chordata; Mammalia; Rodentia; Cricetidae.
AAAGAACUGAGCACAAGCGGCUCG